This 668-nucleotide ribosomal RNA is filed under the name Pantoea dispersa. RNAcentral describes it as "bacterial SSU rRNA". It matches the Rfam family "Bacterial small subunit ribosomal RNA", at positions 161 to 825 of the family's 1533-position model. Lineage: Bacteria; Pseudomonadati; Pseudomonadota; Gammaproteobacteria; Enterobacterales; Erwiniaceae. The record is from RNAcentral.
AGCUAAUACCGCAUAACCUCGCAAGAGCAAAGUGGGGGACCUUCGGGCCUCACGCUAUCGGAUGUGCCCAGAUGGGAUUAGCUAGUAGGUGGGGUAACGGCUCACCUAGGCGACGAUCCCUAGCUGGUCUGAGAGGAUGACCAGCCACACUGGAACUGAGACACGGUCCAGACUCCUACGGGAGGCAGCAGUGGGGAAUAUUGCACAAUGGGCGCAAGCCUGAUGCAGCCAUGCCGCGUGUAUGAAGAAGGCCUUCGGGUUGUAAAGUACUUUCAGCGGGGAGGAAGGCGGUGAGGUUAAUAACCUUGCCGAUUGACGUUACCCGCAGAAGAAGCACCGGCUAACUCCGUGCCAGCAGCCGCGGUAAUACGGAGGGUGCAAGCGUUAAUCGGAAUUACUGGGCGUAAAGCGCACGCAGGCGGUCUGUCAAGUCAGAUGUGAAAUCCCCGGGCUUAACCUGGGAACUGCAUUUGAAACUGGCAGGCUAGAGUCUUGUAGAGGGGGGUAGAAUUCCAGGUGUAGCGGUGAAAUGCGUAUAGAUCUGGAGGAAUACCGGUGGCGAAAGCGGCCCCCUGGACAGAGACUGACGCUCAUGUGCGAAAGCGUGGGGAGCAACAGGGAUUAGAUACCCUGGUAGUCCACGCCGUAACGAUGUCGACUUGUAGGGU